AAAUUGAAGAGUUUGAUCAUGGCUCAGAUUGAACGCUGGCGGCAAGCCUAACACAUGCAAGUCGAGCGGCAGCGAAGUAGAAAAGCUUUAGUUUUUUUAUUGUCGGCGAGCGGCGGACGGGUGAGUAAUAUCUGGGGAUCUGCCUUAUAGAGGGGGAUAACUAUUGGAAACGAUAGCUAAUACCGCAUAAUGUCGCAAGACCAAAGUGGGGGAUUUUAUAGUUUCAUAUAAAACCUCAUGCUAUUAGAUGAACCCAGACGGGAUUAGCUAGUAGGUAGAGUAAAAGCCUACCUAGGCUACGAUCCCUAGCUGGUCUGAGAGGAUGAUCAGCCACACUGGAACUGAGACACGGUCCAGACUCCUACGGGAGGCAGCAGUGGGGAAUAUUGCACAAUGGGCGAAAGCCUGAUGCAGCUAUGCCGCGUGUAUGAAGAAGGCCUUAGGGUUGUAAAGUACUUUCAACAAGAAAGAAGGGAUAAAAUCUAAUACAUUUUAUCAUUGACGUUACUUGUAAAAGAAGCACCGGCUAACUCCGUGCCAGCAGCCGCGGUAAUACGGAGGGUGCGAGCGUUAAUCGGAAUUACUGGGCGUAAAGAGCACGUAGGCUGUUAAUUAAGUCAGAUGUGAAAGCCCUAAGCUUAACUUAGGAAUUGCAUUUGAAACUAAUUAGCUUGAGUUUUGUAGAGGAGAGUAGAAUUCCAGGUGUAGCGGUGAAAUGCGUAGAUAUCUGGAGGAAUACCAGUGGCGAAGGCGACUCUCUGGACAAAUACUGACGCUCAGGUGCGAAAGCAUGGGGAGCAAACAGGAUUAGAUACCCUGGUAGUCCAUGCUGUAAACGAUGUCGACUUGGAGGUUGUAAGCUUGACUUGUAACUUCCGUAGCUAACGCGUUAAGUCGACCGCCUGGGGAGUACGACCGCAAGGUUAAAACUCAAAUGAAUUGACGGGGGCCCGCACAAGCGGUGGAGCAUGUGGUUUAAUUCGAUGCAACGCGAAAAACCUUACCUGGUCUUGACAUCCAUGGAAUUUAAUAGAGAUAUUUUAGUGCCUUCGGGAACCAUGAGACAGGUGCUGCAUGGCUGUCGUCAGCUCGUGUUGUGAAAUGUUGGGUUAAGUCCCGCAACGAGCGCAACCCUUGUCCUUUGUUGCCAUCAGUUCGGCUGGGAACUCAAAGGAAACUGCCGGUGAUAAACCGGAGGAAGGUGAGGACGACGUCAAGUCAUCAUGGCCCUUACGACCAGGGCUACACACGUGCUACAAUGGUAUAUACAAAGGGAAGCAUCCUCGCAAGAGUAAGCGGAUCUCAUAAAAUAUAUCUUAGUUCGGAUUGGAGUCUGCAACUCGACUCCAUGAAGUCGGAAUCGCUAGUAAUCGUAGAUCAGAAUGCUACGGUGAAUACGUUCCCGGGCCUUGUACACACCGCCCGUCACACCAUGGGAGUGGGUUGUAAAAGAAGUAAGUAGUUUAACCAUUUAUUUGGAGGGCGCUUACCACUUUGUGAUUCAUAACUGGGGUGAAGUCGUAACAAGGUAACCGUAGGGGAACCUGUGGUUGGAUCACCUCCUUU
RNAcentral lists this ribosomal RNA (1566 nucleotides) under Enterobacteriaceae endosymbiont of Donacia tomentosa. RNAcentral's name for it is "bacterial SSU rRNA". It matches the Rfam family "Bacterial small subunit ribosomal RNA". The record is from RNAcentral. Lineage: Bacteria; Pseudomonadati; Pseudomonadota; Gammaproteobacteria; Enterobacterales; Enterobacteriaceae.